This 253-nucleotide ribosomal RNA is filed under the name uncultured bacterium. RNAcentral's name for it is "partial 16S ribosomal RNA". It matches the Rfam family "Bacterial small subunit ribosomal RNA", at positions 524 to 776 of the family's 1533-position model. The record is from RNAcentral.
UACAGAGGUCUCAAGCGUUGUUCGGAUUCAUUGGGCGUAAAGGGUGCGUAGGCUGUAGGGUAAGUCUGGUGUGAAAGCCCAGGGCUCAACCCUGGAAGUGCACUGGAUACGACGGCGCUGGAGUCCUGAAGAGGAGGGCGGAAUUCCCGGUGUAGAGGUGAAAUUCGUAGAUAUCGGGAGGAACACCAGUGGCGAAAGCGGCUCUCUGGACAGGUACUGACGCUGAGACGCGAAAGCGUGGGUAGCAAACAGG